UUCAGAUUGUUCAUGACGUGAUUGUAAAAUAAAUCUUGUCAUUUCCCAGGGACAAAUGCAAAGGCCAUGGUUCUGUAAACAUUUCUCUUUUGGACAAAUCUGACCUAGGGACCUCGUGGCCAUUUUUUCCAACCACUUCCCAUAUCCUCCAUUGUGUCAGCACAGACCUUAACAUUUAGUUAAGUGAAUUGGGAGCAUGGAAGGAAUCCAACUUAAAACCUAUCAAUUUAGGUUUAUGAAAAUAUGGAAAAUAGAGCACUGAUCUAUGGAGGUGGGGGAUGCUGAGGUUGAAGAGCAUAGCCAAAGAAUGGGGAGCAGAAAUAGCUGGAACUUGCUUUGCAGGGAAGAAAAAAUGUCUGUGCAAGCUUGGCCUAACAUUUUAAGUAAUAAGUGUUUGUUGGCCCAGAUGAUAUUCACUGAAAGAGGCUAGGGAGUGUUCGAACAAGUAUAUCCAGAUCAGAGGGGUGGUAACCUAUUGCAAAGCAAUGCUCACAAGCCCCUGGGCAGACUGAGGGAGGACUCUUCUGUCAACACAGCUGGGUUUGGGAGGAGAUAUGUGUCCACAGACACAACUCCCUGCACUGUCACAGUGUGCACCAAUCUUGCCUCACACCUCGCUCCAAAAUGUAAGGUACUGUGUCUUCCAGCACUACUGUAGUGUGCAGUUUUGCCCUCCCAUGUGCCUGAAGGGGUGAACUGUACCUUAGCAUUUUUAUAACAGACUUUCUUUUGAGGGUAGGUAAUGGAUGUGUUUGGUAACCAGCAGAAGCCAUAGGUACAUCCGAAUACUGGGUGUGAGUGUGUUCUGUCAUUUUACUUGGACGAAUUACAGUAUUUAACUUGGAAUGGCCCACUCAUGUCUUUUGCUUGACUUUCAGGCUCUGAGCUGUGUGAAUUACUGACAUGGGAAUUUAAGAUGUCAUUUAUCAAAAAUCACAUACGUUUUCGUACGUGCAUACCUGUAUCCAAGGUGGGGAAACUACUUAACUGCAGUCUGAAUUUUCCAGUCAGUAUACAAAGUAAUUCACUUCUACUGCCACUAGAGGUAUAACAUUCACUUGAGCAAAUACCAAAGGAAACAUUUGGUUGGAAGCCUUGCCCAUAUUAAUAUUUCAUUUUUCAAAUAAUGCUUUUGAUCUGGAUUUUUUUGUUUUGUUUUGUUUUGGAGGCCUCAUCCUACUUUGCUUUUUCCUGUUGAGAACUCUUUCUUUUACUGAACUAAAGCUAACUAUUUGUGAGAUGGAAGGCCACUUUGUGAUUAGAGGGUGCAGAACUGAGUGCUUAUUUAAGCUGCAUAAAAAGCUAAAUUAGAAUGUCAGUCACCAUAUUGGUCACCUGUGACUGGCUCACAUGCAAGCUUGUACCAGCACAUUUGUAAAUCUUCUUUCACAUUGCUUGUUGUUCUCCUGGGUACUUAUGUUUAUUCUGAAAUGCAAACAUAAAAGAAUAAGAUUUGAAAUUAAUUUCUUUUGUAUCUAUUAUGACCAGCUUUCGUUUAGAUAGAAUCUCCCUUUUGAAACUCAUUAAAACAUCACGAAAGUCCCAUGUCUCUGCCAGGGCUGGCAGGAGGAUUGUGGCCUACCCUGGGAUUUAAUCACAGCUCUGCAGUAUGCGUACUGCUGGAGUGCAGGGCAGGGGAUGGUUCUGAACCGAGCUGUGGGGGUUUCUGUGAGAAAGCAGUGGUUGACUAAAUGAGGACUAACUGCAGCCCUGCUGGUGCACAGCCUCUAACUGUUUGAAGUUGGUAGCCUUUCUUUCAGAGCUUCCGACACACUCAGCAGCAGCCUGCCAGUGCCGUGCUGCAUGCUCACAGGCUGGAAGCAGUGAGUUGCUGGGGGAACUGCCCGCUGUGCCCCUGCACUGCGCAGGCCCCAGCAGCUCUCCUGCUGCAACCUGGCAUUUCCACAUGCUGCAUUGCACCUCCUCCUCACUUUUGCCCGAUGAGCACACUGAUGGCAGCUAAGAAAGAUGAGAGAAUGACAGCUUGAGAGUGAGUGUGGUGAAAGCUGGGUGCCUUGAGCUCUAGCUUGAGCUGCAAUUCCCUUCCAUCGCAGCAAACCCACAAGAGUCUUUCUGCCAUGUUCUCCUUUCAGGACUUGCCCACCUGACUCCUGGCUCAGCAAUGAGAAAUGGAAGUAUAGGAAGUCCCAUGGUGAAUGCUGGAGGGAGAGAGCUCUCUUAAGAGUGAAGUUUAACAGCUAAGGGAACAGUUACAUAAAAAGGAUGAAUGAGCAACAACAAAAGAGGAAGGCUGGGAUCAUAUAAUCUGAAAACUGGAACCACCAUUUAUGAUUUCCUAUUUAGAUAUAUAAGGUGACUGUGAGUGCUUGCCACAUGGUUCAGUUUUAAUUUCUUCUGCCUGUGUUACUUAAUACAAGUGGGAACUGAGGAGAAGGGAAAAGGGGCUGUGUGGUCCUGGUAGGAAUCUACAAAUCAUAAGGACUGAGAUAUUAAAUCUUGAAGGGCACAGUCCAGUAUUAGUGACUCUCAUCCCAGGAGAACCAAGUUGCAGCAGUGCUGGGCAAUUUAGGACACCUUUGCCUUACCACUUACUUUGUAUUUUUUGUUUAGUGUGAUCCAAAGCUGAGAAUACAAAUGCUAUGGAAACCUUGAGUCAUCAGUGGCUCAUCUCAAACUUCUGCUGUGCUUGGCCAUCAUUCUGUUUUUGUGAUCUUUCUUCUUGAAUCUUCAAUCCUGUUUCCUUUCUUAUGCAUAUGUAAAGUCUGUGCUUAGCAUUGGUGACCCACCAUGUCCUGUUCUCUCCCCCACUCUGCUGCUUUCUUCUCCAUUUCCUUUUUGCCCUGCUGCAGAGUGGUAAAAAGAGGGAGCAGGAGGUGUACGUGUUGGGAGGAAAGGAGAUGUUGGAGAAAGGGUAUUGAAAGGAGCAACAGGAAAGGAUGAGAAUGUUUGGGAGUAAGGGACAGCUGCCUGUCAUUGGCACGGGGAUACUACAGAACAUAAAUUGUGCAAAGCUGGAGAAGUAUUGGGGUGGUGAAUGAGCAUGAUGUGAUAUGGGAAAUGGCUGACACAAAUUCCCAGUUAAGUUGGAUUUUCAUUGCAAACACAAUAGAUUUAGUUGAAUAGGGAAUGAUUAAAGUUUGAAAAUGUUUCUGACUGUUCUGAAAUUGUUUGGAAGAGAGCUGGCAUUAUUAUAGCUUUUUAAAAAAGGGUGGACAAAAUCAUAAUUGUCUCUUAUAAUUGUUGCACAUAAAGUUUUUUAUUAAAGUUCCUUUUUUUUUUUUUUAAAUGAAACUGAAUGACUUCAAGGUGGAGUUUGUUUUUUCUUUUGUUUGCAUUUUUUCUUGUCUUUUUGCUCUCUCAGGUAAAUUGCUACUUGCACUUAAUUAUGGAGAGUCGUUGCUUGGAGGCCUUAAUAUGCCUCUACUGUUUUGUAGAGAGUAUCAAAUUAUUACUGGGGACUUUUUUUUUUGAUGGAGAAUGGAGGACAGCUGCAAUGUCUUCCCUUUCAAAACUGAAUAUGAGAAACAGAGGCCACAAUUAAAUGCAAAAACAUAAAUUACAUUUUCCCUUGUUUUAAUGUGAGAUUUGCACUUAACUGGAAAGAGUGACUGCAACAUUCUCUCUACCCAAUUAUUAGUAUCAUUGCUGCAGGGAAAAUGGUGGGAGGGUUGGUUGGAUUAUGCAGCUCUGCCAGAAGUACCUUCUACCUUAAGUGAAAACCGGCCAGAAGAUACAGAAAAGCCAAGGAGGAGAAUGCAGAGAAGUGUUCACUACUCAUUACUAACAUGCAACGCUUGGCCUUGUAG
RNAcentral lists this long non-coding RNA (3767 nucleotides) under Gallus gallus (chicken). RNAcentral describes it as "lncRNA (ENSGALG00010019626.1)". The record is from RNAcentral. Lineage: Eukaryota; Metazoa; Chordata; Aves; Galliformes; Phasianidae.